RNAcentral lists this ribosomal RNA (277 nucleotides) under uncultured prokaryote. Its description in RNAcentral is "partial 16S ribosomal RNA". It matches the Rfam family "Bacterial small subunit ribosomal RNA", at positions 524 to 800 of the family's 1533-position model. The record is from RNAcentral.
UACGUAGGGGGCGAGCGUUGUCCGGAAUUACUAGGCGUAAAGGGCAGGCAGGCGGAUCCAUAAGUUUAUCGUUUAAGGCGUCGGCUUAACCGGCGUAGGGCGGUAGAUACUGUGGAUCUGGAAUGCGGUUGGGGAAGACAGAAUUCCUGGUGUAGCGGUGGAAUGCGCAGAGAUCAGGAGGAAUACCGAAGGCGAAGGCAGUCUUCCAAGCCGUUAUUGACGCUCAACUGCGAAGGUGUGGGUAUCAAACAGGAUUAGAUACCCUGGUAGUCCCUGA